Molecule: ribosomal RNA, 460 nt
Filed under: uncultured bacterium
Lineage: Bacteria
Description: partial 16S ribosomal RNA
Rfam family: Bacterial small subunit ribosomal RNA
Source: RNAcentral
CCUACGGGUGGCAGCAGUGAGGAAUAUUGGUCAAUGGACGCGAGCCUGAACCAGCCAUGCAGCGUGAAGGAAGACGGCCCUAUGAGUUGUAAACUUCUUUUAUACAGGAAUAAAGUCAGGUACGCGUACCUUUCUGUAUGUACCUUAUGAAUAAGGAUCGGCUAACUCCGUGCCAGCAGCCGCGGUAAUACGGAGGAUCCGAGCGUUAUCCGGAUUUAUUGGGUUUAAAGGGUGCGUAGGCGGUCGGUUAAGUCAGUGGUGAAAGUCCGAGGCUCAACCUGGGAAUUGCCGUGGAUACUGGCAGGCUAGAGAGUAGUUGAGGUAGGCGGAAUGUGUGGUGUAGCGGUGAAAUGCUUAGAGAUCAUGCAGAACACCGAUUGCGAAGGCAGCUUACCAAGCUACCACGGACGUUGAGGCACGAAAGCGUGGGGAGCAAACAGGAUUAGAUACCCCUGUAGUC